RNAcentral lists this ribosomal RNA (492 nucleotides) under uncultured Glomus. RNAcentral describes it as "SSU rRNA". It matches the Rfam family "Eukaryotic small subunit ribosomal RNA", at positions 569 to 1067 of the family's 1831-position model. The record is from RNAcentral. Lineage: Eukaryota; Fungi; Glomeromycota; Glomeromycetes; Glomerales; Glomeraceae.
AGCAGCCGCGGUAAUUCCAGCUCCAAUAGCGUAUAUUAAAGUUGUUGCAGUUAAAAAGCUCGUAGUUGAAUUUCGGGAUCAAUUUAUUGGUCGUGCUAUUGUACGUACUGGUAUUAUUGAUUCCUACCUUCUGACGAACCAUGAUGUCAUUAAUUUGGUGUCUUGGGGAAUCAGGACUGUUACUUUGAAAAAUUAGAGUGUUUAAAGCAGGCUCACGCUUGAAUACAUUAGCAUGGAAUAACGAAAUAGGACGUUUGAUUCUAUUUUGUUGGUUUCUAGGAUCGACGUAAUGAUUAAUAGGGAUAGUUGGGGGCAUUAGUAUUCAAUUGUCAGAGGUGAAAUUCUUGGAUUUAUUGAAGACUAACUACUGCGAAAGCAUUUGCCAAGGAUGUUUUCAUUAAUCAAGAACGAAAGUUAGGGGAUCGAAGACGAUCAGAUACCGUCGUAGUCUUAACUAUAAACUAUGCUGACUAGGGAUCGGAUGAUGUAAUU